AUUAUGUGUCAACACAGUUUCUUCAACGUGUCAGAGCAGAUAAGUAUCAUUGAUUGGACUGCUGGGGUCCCUAUAGAAACAUGUAGAUGGAACCAGAAUACCUCAAGAACGGAGUGUGAGGUCCAAAAUCACGGACAUCCUCUUGGAAUUGAUGGCUUCAUUACAAAAUAUACCCCAGGGCUAAGGUUUUUAUGCACUAUGGACAGACAAAGCGUUGAACUGGUUUUGGAAGCAGGUGGGUUAACAAGUGGACACGAUGACCAACGGAUUUGCUUUAGUGUUUAUAUCAUUAUAUUUGUAGCUAUGCUAUUGUCAACUCUUAAAUUAGCUUGAUUUAUUCAUGUUUGGUAAAUAUGUCCUUUAAAGUAGUCUGAUCCUCGGGUUUAUAAAAUUAUUAAUUAAGGAAUCAAAAAUACUCAUAAAAGUAUCCCUAAAUCCACAAAAUUAUGUAAAUUUAUCCACAGUAUUUCUUUAGAGUUAAAGAUGAAAGUUAAUCAUAUUUUAUAGGGGAAGUUGUCAAAUCUCCAAUAUUUUUGCAGAAGAAGCGAAUUGGAAUAUCAGCAAUGCAUUUUCUAAUUGCAAAUUUAUCAACAUAUAUAUUUUAGGUUAAAAAACGAUCGGUAUCCAGGCAUUCAGAGAAAUUGCCAUGAUUUUUAUACUUGUUUGGUAUUUUUUGUUUUCUAUUUCCGUCAUGUAUUCUAUAAUACAUAGUGUAAAAGACUUUUGCUAUCAUUGCAAGACGCCACAAAUUACUUCUUGUUUCAACCAUGCUAAUAAGCAUUGGUAUCUAAGGCUGGAUUUAAGAAAGUCUUAUUUCUAUAAAACUGUAAUAUUUUUUUUCCCUUUUAUAGGGUACAAAUGUCAACUUUUAUAAGACCUUUUCUAAGACUUCCAAAAACCUUGAAUCUUAUAAAGAUGAAUGUAAUGAAAAUUGUUGCAUAAAAAAAUGUCAUUUCCAAGGUUCAUUUUGAUGCAUUUCAAAUUAAAUAUUCAUUUUUAGAGUUAUCCUUCCUGGCUGAUGAUCGGAUAUCCUUAAUCAAAGAAAGAGAUUUAUAAGUAAAUUUUCCUGGAAAAUACAUUUCUACAUGUAUACCUUUUUUAAACUUACGCUUUAUGUAUAUAACUUAUUGUAUUCACGAAUACAGAUAUGUUGGACAAAAUUCAAUUCAUUGAGAAUAACAAAGGUAUCUUUCAAAUUGUAAAGGAUGCCUACAACUGGCUAGUUAUUUUACCGUUUUGUAGAGUCUUUCUAUAGCUUAAUUAUUUUCUGUAUGGAAAUUUUGUAUAUGCAAAUAUAUAUCUGUAUAUAGACAAAAUGAUGUAUAUCCAUGUAUUCACCUAAUUGCUUUAACAUGCGAUUCUAGGUUCCCCUGUCUUUGAUAUUUUAUAUGCACAAUGUAUA
Molecule: long non-coding RNA, 1402 nt
Organism: Saccostrea cuccullata (small rock oyster)
Lineage: Eukaryota; Metazoa; Mollusca; Bivalvia; Ostreida; Ostreidae
Exons: 3
Source: RefSeq, a predicted model, not a curated record